AGCAGAGUCAGCUAAUUAAGCUCCCGGGCUCAUCUACCCGUCAAUGUAGGCAAACAAUCCUUCCUCUGCUU
Molecule: transfer RNA, 71 nt
Filed under: Citharoides macrolepidotus (large-scale flounder)
Lineage: Eukaryota; Metazoa; Chordata; Actinopteri; Pleuronectiformes; Citharidae
Description: tRNA-Met
Source: RNAcentral